RNA transcript from Scleropages formosus (Asian bonytongue), 4286 nucleotides. It is a transcript of the gene named Janus kinase and microtubule interacting protein 3, with no coding region annotated. The transcript has 24 exons. Lineage: Eukaryota; Metazoa; Chordata; Actinopteri; Osteoglossiformes; Osteoglossidae. The record is from RefSeq and is a predicted model, not a curated record.
GGUCCCCCCGCCUUGCCUUUUUUUCCUUUUUCCCCCCGACGAAUCGUUAGGCGGUGCAACCGUCGCUCAGGGAUUGUGUUCCGGUGGCGUGCGGCGCCGGUGCCUCCUUCGCCGGCAGCACGAUGAGCGCAGCGAAUGGUAAACUCCCUGCAUGCGAAAGGGGCAGCAGGCAGCUUCAUUUUAGAGCGUGUGUCACAGCUCGCUGCAAAUGGCUCUCCUCCGGAUGCUAGAGCAGCUCCCCAGCUAAGGCAAGCAGAACAAGCAGGCGGUCGUACCCGGAUCGUGGCUCUAAGGUGGGCGGGAAAAUGUAGCUGAAGACCUGUGGGGGGCGGAAGAGUAGCCUGACACCUCGGAGCCUCUGGUUCUCCCUGUGGAGCAGGGCAGAGGAGGAGGAGGAGGCGGCGUGGUGGCGGCGUUGAAGGGCCUCAGCUGGCAGAACGCCACGCCUCUACCACCAUGUCCAAGAAGGCGCCCGGCGGGCGAGCCAAAGGGGAGAGGCCCGAUGCCCUCGUCGCAUUGCAGGCCGCCAACGAGGAGCUGAGGGCAAAGCUCACCGACAUCCAAAUCGAACUGCAACAGGAAAAGAGUAAGGUCAGCAAGCUGGAGCGAGAGAAGACCCAGGAGGUGCGACGUGAGCAGCACAAGUCCACGGUGGUGCUGACGGAGCUACGGGCCAAGCUGCAUGAAGAGAAGAUGAAGGAGCUGCACGGCGCACGGGAGGCCUUGCUGCGGCAGCACGAGUCCGAGCUGGUGCGAGUCAUCCGAGUCAAAGACGGCGAGAUCCAGCGGCUGCAGGCACUGGUCAACGCCCUGCGCGACGGCUCCACGGACAAGGUGCGAGGGGCAUUACUGGCCGAGGCCCGCGAGGAGGCCCGCCGUGCCUUCGAAGGGGAGCGUGGCCGCAUGCAACAGGAGAUACAGGAACUGAAGGGCGUCAAGCGGCAGAUGGAGGAGGCGCUCACCGUGGCCGUGCAGGCCGACAGGAUCAAGGCCGCUGAGAUCCGCAGCGUCUACCACCUGCACCAGGAGGAGAUCGGCCGCAUCAAGAGGGAGUGCGAAAGGGAGAUCCGCAGGCUGGAACUCAGUGAGGAGACGAAGUCCUUGGGGGCAGUUAUCUGCAGUUGGUCCUUGUUUCAGGAACAGCAGUUGGACGAAAAGGAUGCCAGGCGCUUCCAGCUCAAAAUCGCCGAACUAAGUGCCAUCAUACGCAAACUGGAGGACCGCAAUGCACUGCUGUCAGAAGAGCGGAAUGAGCUGCUGAAGCGCCUCCGGGAAGCAGAGGCACAGUACAAACCGCUGCUGGACAAGAACCAGCGGUUGAGCAGGAAAAACGAGGAGCUAAGCCACACCUUAAGACGCAUGGAGAACAAGCUGAGAUUCGUCACCCAGGAGAACAUCGAGAUGAGGGAGAAAGUGGGGACCAUAAGGCGACCGAGUUCUCUGAAUGACCUUGACCAAAGUCAGGAGGAGAGAGAGAUUGAGUUUCUCAGACUCCAGGUUGUGGAGCAGCAGAACAUCAUUGAUGAUCUGUCAAAGGCCCUGGAAACAGCUGGAUAUGUGAAGAGUGUAAUAGAACGUGACAUGCUGCUUCGAUAUCAGCGACCCAGGAAGAAGCUGAUAAAGCCCUGUAAGAAACCUGUGGUGGAGACAUUCUUUGGGUACGAUGAAGAAGCUUCCCUGGACUCCGACGGCUCCUCUAUAUCCCAUCACACGGACCGCACGCCAUGCACCCCAGACGAUGAUCUGGAGGAAAUGGUGGACCAGGGCAUGAUCAAAGAGGAGAUAGACUUGCGGUUUCGCCAGCUGACCAUGGAGUACCAGGCACUUCAGCGGGCCUACGCUUUGCUGCAGGAGCAGGUCGGGGGAACAUUUGAUGCCGAGAGGGAAGUGAAGACCAGGGAACAGCUGCAAGCAGAACUCAUUCGCUACCAGACAAGAAUCGAAGAUCUGGAGAGUGCUUUGUCGCAACAAGGACAGGACGUGAAGUGGAUUGAGGAGAAGCAAGCCUUGUAUCGAAGGAACCAGGAGCUUGUGGAUAAGAUCAAACAGAUGGAGGGGGAGGAAUCGCGCCUGAAACACGACAUUCAGGACGCAAAAGACCAAAACGAGCUCCUCGAGUUCCGCAUCCUAGAGCUCGAGGAGCGCGAGAGACGGUCCCCAGCCAUCAACUUCCACAGCGUCCACUUCAAAGAGGGCGUGAGCCCCCUGCAGGUGUACUGUGAGGCGGAGGGCGUCACUGACAUUGUCAUCACCGAACUCUUGAAAAAGCUGGACAUUCUGGGGGAUAACGCCGUAAGUAACUUAACCAACGAGGAGCAGGUGGUCGUCAUUCAUGCCAGGACUGUUUUAACCUUAGCAGAAAAGUGGCUCGAGCAAAUAGAGGUCACCAAAUCGGCACUGCAGCAGAAGAUGCUGGACAUCGAGAGUGAAAAGAACCUUUUCAGCAAGCAGAAAGGAUACCUGGACGAAGAGCUCGACUACAGGAAGCAGUCGAUGGAUCAUGCGCACAAGAGGAUCCUCGAGCUGGAGGCCAUGCUGUUCGACGCCCUGCAGCAGGAGCCAGGCGCCAAGAUGUCUGAGCUGCUGUCGGAGGAGGAGCGGGACACUCUGCAGGAGGCCGUGGAGCAGUGGAGGCGACAGGUGAUGAGCGAGCUGCGCGAGCGCGACGCGCAGAUCCUGCGGGAGAGGAUGGAGCUGGUGCAGCACGCGCAGCAGAGAAUCAAAGAGCUCGAAGAAUGGAUAGAGGCGCAGAAACGGCAGAUAAAGGAACUGGAGGAAAAGCCUUCAUUCUUUGGUCGUAGUCCUCCGCGAAGCCGCAACAACAGCCCCCCAGGUCUGCAAGCAGUUUUCCGCAUCCUGUGAAGGAGACCAAGACUUUGGCCCUCAUUCCCCCCCCCCCCCCCCCAAUUCUCUUCUUGACUCUGGAUUCUUCCUCUCUGAAUUCGUGCGGAGAAGCAGAGCAGCGGUGUACCCACGACUUCCAAGAUGGGAAACUAGAAGGACAUUUUUUUUCCCGCCCGAGUGCGAACCCCCGUUGUGAGAAACGGUGCGCGGGAACGCGCGUGCGACGAGCUCCCGACGGGGCGAACCCGCCAUCUUCUUGCAUGGAACUUAAGGACUCUUAAAAAAAUCAAGCUCGUUCUUCUUCUCCCUGCUAAGCAGGCGGAUCUCCUGGCCGCUUCCGUGUGGAAGCAUGAAGACGCGAGAGACAGACGGGCCCUCGCGCUCGGCCACUGUUUACACGCUCGCGGCGAGGGCUCGUGCGGCCGCCGCGCAGCCCACGGUGGAACACGUCCCGGGUCCUCCUUUAUUCACGAUCCAAGAUAAACUUAUGCCAAACAGCGGAGCUACGAGAAAUAAAAUCUGCACCCCUCCACACUACCGGCAGUUUAAAAUCGACCAAUGAGCCAAGAACAUCAGUCAGCCAGCAGGGGGACAAGAUCAGCAGCAGAAAAAGAGAACAAUGUCUGACCAGCUGUUUCCACUGCCAUGCAGUCCUGCCAACGAUAAGAUGCUGCUGACCGAUCUUGGGCGCUCACUGUAGGACCGCUCCAUUCUGACUCCUUCACAAGCAACAUCAACUUAUUGAGUCAAGGCUUCGGCUGUGCUGCUGGUUCCGGGAACACUGUCCCACGAGAGAUUCACAGCCUUUAGAUGAAAAGGACCCAUCCAUGACUCAGCAGCCACACACGUCUCUCGGUCUUCUCAGAUGCCAGUGGUUGUAUUGUCUUUUGUUGACAGCUUAGCCGUGCUCAGUGCGUACCUUGACCGCGCUCUGCAAUACAAGUCAUUUAACAACCACAGAUACCACGCAGCCCUAUUCAAACCUUGACCAACUCGCCGUUCUGCAUCAGCUGUUGAGCAGCUGGCCAAACACUCCACAUCUUCACCAAGCGAGACAAAGACUGCAAAACCGUACAGCACUUUCAGAGGUCAGCCCAUUCGGCCGCCACGUUUCUUGUGUUAAAUUAAAACACAGAUCAACUCUGUUCCGACUGUUAGGUUCACCCGUGUGAUUUGCAGUGUGCCACUCACUCCUUCUGGUAUAUUUGCUUGACAGCUUUACCACUGUAAAGGGAUUACAGUGGGCUCUCAUUCUCAUCACUCCUGCUCACCUCUACCACAGUUUGUGUGUUUCCAGGCACAGAACGCUUAAGGAAGAAAAAAAGUUGACUGGUUGACUGUACUAUGCAGGAACCCCUAUAAUUGCCUUAAUUUCAAUUAUUUUUAUGAGUAUCUCGUGAAUAUGUACCUUGGCCUUCCUGGGAAAAUAAAGGUGGGAUAUG